Long non-coding RNA from Nannospalax galili (Upper Galilee mountains blind mole rat), 195 nucleotides. RefSeq lists it as uncharacterized. Lineage: Eukaryota; Metazoa; Chordata; Mammalia; Rodentia; Spalacidae. The record is from RefSeq and is a predicted model, not a curated record. The transcript has 3 exons.
GCAGAAAGUUACUCAUGCUGGAACUGCCUUUGGGGUGAUGCAGCUAUCUUUGAGUCAUCCAUGCUCCUGUUUUUGGAAACAUGGAACUGGAUCUCAUAGGAUCAAAGAAGAGUACAUAAAUUCUGGAGCCAUUUUGUUGAGAUUUGCAAACUUUGUGUAACAGUGAUGGUAUCAGCAAAAACGUAAGACUGGGAA